AACGAACGCUGGCGGCAGGCCUAACACAUGCAAGUCGAGCGCACCUUCGGGUGAGCGGCGGACGGGUUAGUAACGCGUGGGAACAUACCCUUUUCUACGGAAUAGCCUCGGGAAACUGAGAGUAAUACCGUAUACGCCCUUCGGGGGAAAGAUUUAUCGGUGAAGGAUUGGCCCGCGUUUGAUUAGAUAGUUGGUGGGGUAAUGGCCUACCAAGUCUACGAUCAAUAGCUGGUUUGAGAGGAUGAUCAGCAACACUGGGACUGAGACACGGCCCAGACUCCUACGGGAGGCAGCAGUGGGGAAUCUUAGACAAUGGGCGCAAGCCUGAUCUAGCCAUGCCGCGUGAGUGACGAAGGCCUUAGGGUCGUAAAGCUCUUUCGCCGA
Molecule: ribosomal RNA, 384 nt
Filed under: uncultured bacterium
Lineage: Bacteria
Description: bacterial SSU rRNA
Rfam family: Bacterial small subunit ribosomal RNA
Source: RNAcentral